This is a non-coding RNA of Trichobilharzia regenti, 46 nucleotides long. Lineage: Eukaryota; Metazoa; Platyhelminthes; Trematoda; Strigeidida; Schistosomatidae. The record is from Rfam.
GUACUGCUGAAGAGCCCCAAACUAGGACGAAACGGCUGUCUAGUAC